Gorilla gorilla gorilla (western lowland gorilla) is the source of this 541-nucleotide long non-coding RNA. RefSeq lists it as uncharacterized. The record is from RefSeq and is a predicted model, not a curated record. NCBI's taxonomy places the organism in Eukaryota, Metazoa, Chordata, Mammalia, Primates, Hominidae. The transcript is spliced from 2 exons.
UUUUUUUUUUUUUUUAGGGUUCGGUGUUUUACUGUUGAGCUGCUCAGUGCCCAGCUUAGAGGACCAGGAAAAGGAGUCACCGGCCGUAUGCUGGAGGCUUGAGCCGUGGCACAGCUCGCCUGGCUAUGGUUGAUGGUGGCAGUGGAGAUUGCGAUUGCAGCGCAUCUGGAGGGGUUGUUUGAGGGACGUUCAUCAAGGAAACCGGAGAAACUUAAAACGCUCUUCUGCUUCUUUGGAACAGUCACAGAGAAAAGUGAACUCCUUUCAUUCUUGCAGUAAUUUUUCUUGCUGAUGGGAACAGUUCAAGUCAAUUGACAUGUGAGGAACAUUUUGUGUUUAACGUAAACCUUCCUGUCCCAACCACAUUGAAACAGUAAUGAUGCGACAAGAUAACUUCGGCUUUAUGCUUGUGUUGUGUAUAAGCAUAAAUGUGUGCUAUAAAUGUAGGGGGGCGGGGUUUACAUACUCUGAAAUCGGACCCAUAUUCUCUGAAAUCUAAUAUACAUCAAAACAUUUUCAUGAAUAAAAACCAGAGAAAGUA